CUCCAUGUCUCUGGAUGAACAGCAGCAGGUGAUAUGUGAUUUACUAAAUCUUACUCAGCAGCGGCGAGGUGAGGUGAAGAGUGUGUGUCAGUGUGUGUGCGAGCGUGUGCGUUAAGCCUCCGGCUGCUGAAAAGGUUAGAUAUAUUGAUUUUGUUCCUAAGAGACAGACUGGAACAGGGAGACAAAUGGACUACAGUCGAGGAGCUGUCUCAUCGGGGCCCCUACCAUGUCAGUCCCCUUAAGGAGGUCUGUAAUACCUGGAGAGGACCAUCCUAGAGAGAGAAAUCCUUCUCACAGCUGUUUCUCAGCUGGCGCAGGAUCUACCAGAGGAGGUCUGUAAUACCUGGAGAGAGAAAUCCUUCUCGCAGUCGUUUCUCAGCUGGCGCAGGAACCACCAGAGAGAAAGAGAGCGGGAGUGAUAGAAAGAGUGAGAGAGCGAGUCUUUGAACAAGUAUGCCUCUCCCUCCAGUUCCAGGACCUCUCCACUUUAGACACCUGAAGAAGGCCCACUUCAGAAGGUGUGAAACAUCAAAGCUUCUGUUCAGUCACACGCACACACACUCCCCUUCAUUUCCCCCUCUCUCUCACACACAGACACUGGCAAAUAUUCUUGCAUUGCUGUGACAUUUUUCCUACCCUGCGUUGGCAAAAAGUACCAAAAAAAAAGUAACAAAGGAGAUUGAGAGAGCAUGCUAGGACACUGAAACAUCUCUAGCGUUUUCUCUCCGGUCAGCAGAGCAGUUUGGACUAACAGGACUUUGAAAGGCAUCAAAAAUCGAGUAUGUGGACAAAGACACAUCUCUUAUUGCAGGA
Labeo rohita (rohu) is the source of this 813-nucleotide long non-coding RNA. RefSeq lists it as uncharacterized. The record is from RefSeq and is a predicted model, not a curated record. Lineage: Eukaryota; Metazoa; Chordata; Actinopteri; Cypriniformes; Cyprinidae. The transcript has 4 exons.